Molecule: ribosomal RNA, 253 nt
Filed under: uncultured bacterium
Lineage: Bacteria
Description: partial 16S ribosomal RNA
Rfam family: Bacterial small subunit ribosomal RNA
Source: RNAcentral
UACGUAGGGUGCAAGCGUUAAUCGGAAUUACUGGGCGUAAAGCGUGCGCAGGCGGUGAUGUAAGACAGGUGUGAAAUCCCCGGGCUUAACCUGGGAACUGCAUUUGUGACUGCAUCGCUGGAGUGCGGCAGAGGGGGAUGGAAUUCCGCGUGUAGCAGUGAAAUGCGUAGAGAUGCGGAGGAACACCGAUGGCGAAGGCAGCCCCCUGGGCCAACACUGACGCUCAGGCACGAAAGCGUGGGGAGCAAACAGG